UUGACCUCGGAUCAGGUAGGGAUACCCGCUGAACUUAAGCAUAUCAAUAAGCGGAGGAG
RNAcentral lists this ribosomal RNA (59 nucleotides) under Penicillium aurantiovirens. RNAcentral's name for it is "partial 28S ribosomal RNA". It matches the Rfam family "Eukaryotic large subunit ribosomal RNA", at positions 1 to 58 of the family's 3401-position model. The record is from RNAcentral. RNAcentral also lists the same sequence under 1 other name. Lineage: Eukaryota; Fungi; Ascomycota; Eurotiomycetes; Eurotiales; Aspergillaceae.